Molecule: long non-coding RNA, 357 nt
Filed under: Prunus dulcis (almond)
Lineage: Eukaryota; Viridiplantae; Streptophyta; Magnoliopsida; Rosales; Rosaceae
Description: sRNA ncRNA
Source: RNAcentral
AUGGGUUCAGAAUGUGAAGGUAAAGUAGUAGCCAAUUUCCUUCGUUUCUUUUCUUUCUAUUUAGUUUUUUCAGAGAUAUGUGCCAAUUCUUAUAUAUAUAUAUAUAUAUAUAUAUAUGUGUGUGUGAGAGUAUAUUUAUUUAUUUAUUUAUUUUCAGGCAAGGGUUCGUGGCCAGAGCUUGUUGGAGUGGAGGGGGAGGUUGCCAAAGCAACAAUUGAGAGAGAGAACCCUAUUGUGACUGCUAAGAUUGUGGUUGAAGGAGAAACAUAUGUCAUCACCAACUACGAUUGCUAUAGGGUUUGGGUAUGGGUUGAUAAAGAUGAUCGACUUGUCACAAGGCCUCCCAUAAUUGGUUAA